AGAGUUUGAUCCUGGCUCAGAAUCAACGCUGGCGGCGUGCCUAACACAUGCAAGUCGCACGAGAAAGGGACUUCGGUCCUGAGUACAGUGGCGCACGGGUGAGUAACACGUGAAUCAUCUACCUUCGAGUGGGGAAUAACUGAGAGAAAUCUUAGCUAAUACCGCAUAAUACCUACGGGUCAAAGCAGCAAUGCGCUUGAAGAGGAGUUCGCGGCAGAUUAGUUAGUUGGCGGGGUAAUGGCCCACCAAGACGAUGAUCUGUAUCCGGCCUGAGAGGGCGCACGGACACACUGGAACUGAAACACGGUCCAGACUCCUACGGGAGGCAGCAGUGGGGAAUUUUGCGCAAUGGGGGAAACCCCGACGCAGCAACGCCGCGUGGAGGAUGAAGUCUCUUGGGACGUAAACUCCUUUCGAUCGGGACGAUAAUGACGGUACCGGAAGAAGAAGCCCCGGCUAACUUCGUGCCAGCAGCCGCGGUAAUACGAGGGGGGCAAGCGUUGUUCGGAAUUAUUGGGCGUAAAGGGUGCGUAGGCGGUCCGGCAAGUCUUGUGUGAAAUCUUCAGGCUCAACUUGAAGUCUGCAUAAGAAACUGCCGGGCUUGAGUAUGGGAGAGGUGAGUGGAAUUUCCGGUGUAGCGGUGAAAUGCGUAGAUAUCGGAAGGAACACCUGUGGCGAAAGCGGCUCACUGGACCAUAACUGACGCUGAGGCACGAAAGCUAGGGGAGCAAACAGGAUUAGAUACCCUGGUAGUCC
RNAcentral lists this ribosomal RNA (756 nucleotides) under uncultured bacterium. RNAcentral describes it as "bacterial SSU rRNA". It matches the Rfam family "Bacterial small subunit ribosomal RNA", at positions 8 to 796 of the family's 1533-position model. The record is from RNAcentral.